Molecule: long non-coding RNA, 1182 nt
Organism: Paralichthys olivaceus (Japanese flounder)
Lineage: Eukaryota; Metazoa; Chordata; Actinopteri; Pleuronectiformes; Paralichthyidae
Source: RefSeq, a predicted model, not a curated record
GGAAGCACAUGAGCUCAGCUUUAUUCGUUUGAUUUGUUUGGAUCCUUUUUUUCUUUAGUAUGACUUUAAUAUUUGAACUCUGGAGUAGCUGGAGAAGUUUUGUUAAACAUUUAUUUAAAUGCACUUUCUUUGAUUCUCUGUUUUGUGACGGACUAAAACUGGGAGUGAUGGUUUCGUACAGACUUUUAUUCCCUUUAAAAUGAUGAAUCUUUAUAGAUUCCAGUCAGAUUCAUGUCUCCAACCGGAGGAAAGGACGGUUUUCCAGAUUCGCUCCUGUGUGAUGUCACUUCCUCACUGUCUGCUCUGUCCUCCUCCCCCGGUCGUCUGCUGCGUUCACCGCACGUUCGUCAUCUCCAGGAGACGUCUGUGUGAGCUGUUUGUCUUGAUUAGAGCCUGGAGAAUCUUCACUUGGAAGCUGGUUAUCACUCGUCUCAGUUGACUCUGACGUCUUAUCCGGCUGUGAGGGCGUUCGUGUGACAGAGGCGGAGUCGUCCAUCUCCCGCGACCCUCUGAGGAUUUGUGAUAGUGACAAUGCCUUGGUGUUUUUAUUUAGUGUGAUGAACUCCGUCAUAAGCUUUAAAACCUGGGUUGACAAAAGUCUGGAAUCACGAAAGGAUUCCACUCUAAGAAAAUAGAUUUAUGUCGCUGUCGGUAUCCUGUAGAUCAAGGGCUCUAGUUUUCUAAUGAUGUGAUUGGUUAGUAGUUGGGAUGUUGACCGUCUCUGUUACCACAAACCUAACUUUAAUGUUUUAAAUUCAUAUAUCGAUCAACAACACACAAAGAACGUAGACAAUAAGACAUGAGAUAACAAAAAACAAAUAAAUCCCAAAGUCAAUGAAAUGAGUUUCUCCAGGUCUGAGUGGCCUGUUAACAGGUUGAGCCAAUGGUUGGCUCACGGUUUUGUUCCGUCUUUCCAGUUAAGCAGUUGGUUUUCUCUUCUUCACGGUUGAUGCCAUUUAGAACGAAAGAUUUGUGGGAUCAGGAGAGAUCUCCUGUCAGAUGAGGGGGAUACUGAGGGUGACAGCUUUCCCAUGACCUCCGACCAAAACCGUGCAACUGGUGCACAGAGGCGAAGCGUGGACGUGGUGUUCUGUUGCACUGGGGCAGUGUGUGCACGUGUUGGUGUCAGUGAAGCACAUUUUGUGAGCGGUGAUGUGAUCUCGUAUUGAAUUAAUUAAAUUG